RNAcentral lists this ribosomal RNA (465 nucleotides) under uncultured bacterium. Its description in RNAcentral is "partial 16S ribosomal RNA". It matches the Rfam family "Bacterial small subunit ribosomal RNA", at positions 338 to 795 of the family's 1533-position model. The record is from RNAcentral.
CCUACGGGAGGCAGCAGUAGGGAAUCUUCCACAAUGGGCGAAAGCCUGAUGGAGCAACGCCGCGUGGGUGAAGAAGGUCUUCGGAUCGUAAAACCCUGUUGUUAGAGAAGAACGUGCGUGAGAGUAACUGUUCACGUUUCGACGGUAUCUAACCAGAAAGCCACGGCUAACUACGUGCCAGCAGCCGCGGUAAUACGUAGGUGGCAAGCGUUAUCCGGAUUUAUUGGGCGUAAAGGGAACGCAGGCGGUCUUUUAAGUCUGAUGUGAAAGCCUUCGGCUUAACCGGAGUAGUGCAUUGGAAACUGGGAGACUGGAGUGCAGAAGAGGAGAGGGGAACUCCAGGUGUAGCGGUGAAAUGCGUAGAUAUAUGGAAGAACACCAGUGGCGAAAGCGGCUCUCUGGUCUGUAACUGACGCUGAGGUGCGAAAGCGUGGGUAGCAAACAGGAUUAGAUACCCUAGUAGUC